GAAGUAGUCACGCACGUAGCUACUGCAAGUCUGCAAUUAGGAUUUAGGAACGGUUCUGUCUUUGGACCCUAAAUUUCAAUAAUUCCUCACUUUUAAUUUAAGUAAGCAACCGACCAAAUAAAUUUUGUACCAGCAGCCAAACCGCUGAAAUUUCAAAUCUCUGCAAAUUACUCCAGUUAAUAAUUCUUCUAGGCUGUAAUCCGUUCGGUUGACUUGCAGGUGAGGGGGAUAGUUAUGUCCGCCGGUAUGGGUAUACCUCCGGUGAUCAAGUUAGUCCGGAUACAGGCAAAGGAUGGGGAUGAAUAAAUAAACGAUUUUUCUGCCACAUUCUUGCGUUGUUUUCCAGCAAAAACUGCUGACGCCGAAUCUCUUGAGAAAUGCGCUUUUCUGCUACUCUAUGUUAUCCGUUCAGCAGUAGCUCUUUUCUCUUCAGCCGGCAUUUCUGCAGCGGCUGUCCCUGUUUUAUUGUCGUACUUGUACUCCCAACUUCUAACUGUUUCUCUGUAAUAUUUCUGCAGCUGGUUUUGCGUGUAGGACAAAGUUCUAAUGCUUUAGAAAGAAGCCCAACCGAUUCUAGACCCUGCUCUAUUUAUCCUUCCACAUGCCAAUUCUCCAGGAUUCUUCUUCUGCAGGCCAAGUGCCGCCUGAGAUCAGUCCAUACUCUUCGUGGAGGAACAGAAUACGAAAAUUAUAGGAGGCUCAAUUCUUCCUGAUGGUGCAAAAUCAAAGAGAAUAAAUUGGGGCGGUGCAAAACCAGGCUCAUAAUAUAAAAAACGCUAGACAUCGUCAUGAAGCAAUGUGCUGAAAGUGAACAGGUUCACGACUUAACUCUUGUCUCUCUGACAUGGUCUAAAUUUUAGUUUUCCAUGGAGUAAGAAGAAAUCAUUUUUCUCUCGUUCAUAAAAUUAGGACGUGUGAAUUUUAUGGUAAUUUUUCUGUACCAACUAGGUAACCAAAUUCCAGAAGCUAAUGCUUACAAACUAGUAUUAGUCUUUUACUCGUCAAAAGAGCCCAGUGUUAAUGUGAAUUUAGAGUUUUACCUUUGAGGAUCUCUCGUUCUGCCUUGUCUAAUUUUCCAUGUUAUAAAGCUGCCAAAUCAUUACGGGUUGAAGACGGUAAAUGCCACCUGUGCAGGAGCAAGUUCAGGUGAGUUUUCAAUUGCAAUGGAAAUUUUUUUUUUUUAUCAGACUUCUUUUUUUCUUCUUGUCAUUCACAUUUCUUUGCUCUGGAAAUUGUUGGAAAUAUUGCAUUACCCAACACAUUUGCUAGAACUUCUUCAACUUUGACGGCUGUAGGAAUUCUGCAACUUCAAAACCUGGUUACUGUAUUCUCAUUCUUUACAGAUGCAGCCACUCUGUAAUUGUACCUAUAGAUGAGAGUGACAUGUAUGUUUAUUUUCCCUACUUCUGCAUCUCCAAUAACCUUCUGCUAUCAUUAGUUUCGGGUGUUACCUCUUUGCCAACCUUGAAUUCAAAUAGAAGACGGUCAAAAGAUGUUGAAAAUUGGUUUUUUCGAAUCUGCUUUCGAUAGUCAUAUACUCCUUUAUUUGGCAUCCACCUUGUUCCUCUUGUAACCACUUUAAAGUUGAGAAAAUCAUUUCUCGUCUUCCAGCCAUAUACUAGAAGAUGCCUUUCAAUGAUUAAUCUCUCAAAGCAUGUCUUUUGCAAUAGCCAUCCUUUUUGAGCUACAAAUGUGAUAGGUUGCCUAAUUAAUUUGCACUUUACAUUUUUCUCCAAUUAGGAAGCAGCCCUUCGCCAGGGCGUGGUCAAGUCUAGUGGCCUCCAUGUUAUUGAUUCCUUCACUACUGUGGAGGACCAGACUAGCACUGAUUUUGGCAGUUUAGUAGGUACUACAGUAAGAGAACCGAAAACUGAGAGUAAAAUGAAAAGAAAAGGUGGAGCGUCUUCAUUGAUACAGCCGCGGUGCAUGGCUUUGAGAAAUUUAAGAACCACCAGAAAUUGUCGAACAAGGGAUUGAUUUGCCGUCAGCCGCAUAAAACAUGUAUUUUUCGGUCUGAAAACCGAUCGGAUUGGUCCCUGCCCCUGGGGGGUUGACUGAGCCGGAACAUACCUAUAAUCACGGGAAAAUCAGAUCCCUUUGAAAAGUAUAAACACAGGCAGCCGAUGACAGGUAAUAAUCAGCCGUUUGAAUACUUCUGCACAGCUGAUCCUUUUUUUUUUUUUUUUGGUAAUACCUGUAUGUAUUUAUUGUAUACUAAAUAAAUAUAAAAGGAUAGAUGGAGGUAAUUAGAGUUGUAUGAUCGGCAAUGACCAAUUGCUGCAACACAGAAGUUUGCUUCUGCUACCGGUUAUU
Coffea arabica (coffee) is the source of this 2313-nucleotide non-coding RNA. The record is from RefSeq and is a predicted model, not a curated record. NCBI's taxonomy places the organism in Eukaryota, Viridiplantae, Streptophyta, Magnoliopsida, Gentianales, Rubiaceae.